UACGGAGGGUGCAAGCGUUAUCCGGAUUUACUGGGUUUAAAGGGUGCGUAGGUGGACAGGAAAGUCAGUGGUGAAAUCUUCGAGCUUAACUCGGAAACUGCCAUUGAUACUAUUUGUCUUGAAUACUUUGGAGGUAAGCGGAAUAUGUCAUGUGGCGGUGAAAUGCUUAGAUAUGACAUAGAACAACAAAUGCGAAGGCAGCCUACUACACAGUGAUUGACACUGAGGCACGAAAGCGUGGUGAUCAAACAGG
This 253-nucleotide ribosomal RNA is filed under the name uncultured bacterium. RNAcentral describes it as "partial 16S ribosomal RNA". It matches the Rfam family "Bacterial small subunit ribosomal RNA", at positions 524 to 776 of the family's 1533-position model. The record is from RNAcentral.